Long non-coding RNA from Leopardus geoffroyi (Geoffroy's cat), 525 nucleotides. RefSeq lists it as uncharacterized. Lineage: Eukaryota; Metazoa; Chordata; Mammalia; Carnivora; Felidae. The transcript has 4 exons. The record is from RefSeq and is a predicted model, not a curated record.
UUUUUUUUUUUUUUUUUCCUUUUCCUUAUUGGCACUUUGGCCUGCGUGGGAGCCUGAGCUGUUGCUUCCUCUGUGAGGAGCCUGGAUUUCUGAUAGCCAGUGCAGCUGGUCCGUGUUCUUUACUCUGCGCCAAAGCUCACGGGUAGUGAUGGAAAGAUAACACCGAGCAGGGGAUGGAAUCUGUACUUUGCUUUGAUGGCUGCUAUUGCUUGCGGCAGAAACUUGUGUGGAGGGACAGACCGGUGCCCUCCUUGGAGAGAAACCAGCAGCGAUGGAAAACUGAGGUGGUGAUAGAGCUAGCGAUCCCUCCCCCACACCAGCUGCUCCCAAUGCUUCCUUCUGUUCUUUGCUCCACAGAGCAGCCUUCCAGUUAGCAGCCUCUGAAGCAGCCCUUCAAGCCCACGACAGGCUGUCCAUCCACAGCAAACGUUCGUGGAGCACCUGUGACGAGCAGAGCAUCACACGAUCAGUCCCCUGCCUACAAGGGACACGCUUGUUGUGCAGCGGAGGAGACACGGGGCUAAA